Molecule: long non-coding RNA, 493 nt
Filed under: Salvia miltiorrhiza (redroot sage)
Lineage: Eukaryota; Viridiplantae; Streptophyta; Magnoliopsida; Lamiales; Lamiaceae
Description: long non-coding RNA (SMIL_LNC000400)
Source: RNAcentral
UGACAUGUGCGCACAAAUGAAAGAAAAUAUUUUAACAUGCUUAGAAGUUAUUUCAAUUUAAAACCUUCUAAGUUAUGUCAAUUAUGAUUGGAUAAACUGCUCUUUACGAAAAUAUGAAAUGUUUAUGAAAAUGCAUGCCCACUGAGUACAUUAGUACUUAGCCCAAAAAUACUUUCAAAUGUUUUCAGGUUGGCUGGCUGGUGCUGACGGGACUGAGCUGAGGCUAGGGUUCAACUUCCUAUUAAGACUUCCGCUGUAGCACUCAAUAAUAUCUAGUCUUUUGUUUUCCCUAACUUAAGGCUUUCAUAUUAAAUUUCAAAUGAUAUCCCUGAUUAAGUUUAGACUCUAAACUCCUAGAUUUAUGCUAAUGAAUGUUGGUUGUCAGAAGCAUGAAACAAAGCUUGUGAUCCAAAGGGGACUAGCCCGACUUGUCUUAUUCGGGUUUUAACAAGGUUGUUCCUUGUUUAUUUCUAUGAAUUAGUUGUACCUCGAU